UGGGGAAUAUUGGACAAUGGGGGCAACCCUGAUCCAGCGAUGCCGCGUGAGUGAUGAAGGCCCUAGGGUUGUAAAACUCUUUCGUCAGGGAAGAUAAUGACGGUACCUGAAGAAGAAGAUCCGGCUAACUCCGUGCCAGCAGCCGCGGUAAUACGGAGGGGUCUAGCGUUAUUCGGAAUUACUGGGCGUAAAGCGAGCGUAGGCGGAUUUGUAAGUUGGAGGUGAAAUCCCAGAGCUUAACUCUGGAACUGCCUUCAAAACUACAUUUCUUGAGUUUGGUAGAGGAGAGUGGAAUUCCUAGUGUAGAGGUGAAAUUCGUAGAUAUUAGGAGGAACACCAGUGGCGAAGGCGACUCUCUGGGCCAAUACUGACGCUGAGGUUCGAAAGCAUGGGUAGCGAACAGG
Molecule: ribosomal RNA, 404 nt
Filed under: uncultured bacterium
Lineage: Bacteria
Also listed under: 1 other name
Description: bacterial SSU rRNA
Rfam family: Bacterial small subunit ribosomal RNA
Source: RNAcentral